GUGCCAGCAGCCGCGGUAAUACGUAGGGUGCGAGCGUUGUCCGGAAUUACUGGGCGUAAAGGGCUCGUAGGUGGUUUGUCGCGUCGUCUGUGAAAUUCCGGGGCUUAACUCCGGGCGUGCAGGCGAUACGGGCAUAACUUGAGUACUGUAGGGGUAACUGGAAUUCCUGGUGUAGCGGUGAAAUGCGCAGAUAUCAGGAGGAACACCGAUGGCGAAGGCAGGUUACUGGGCAGUUACUGACGCUGAGGAGCGAAAGCAUGGGUAGCGAACAGGAUUAGAUACCCUGGUAGUCCAUGCCGUAAACGGUGGGCGCUAGGUGUGAGGGUCUUUUCACGACUUUCGUGCCGUAGCUAACGCAUUAAGCGCCCCGCCUGGGGAGUACGGCCGCAAGGCUAAAACUCAAAGGAAUUGACGGGGGCCCGCACAAGCGGCGGAGCAUGUGGAUUAAUUCGAUGCAACGCGAAGAACCUUACCUGGGCUUGACAUAUACAAGACAGGCGUAGAGAUACGUCCUCCCUUGUGGUUUGUAUACAGGUGGUGCAUGGUUGUCGUCAGCUCGUGUCGUGAGAUGUUGGGUUAAGUCCCGCAACGAGCGCAACCCUUGUCUUAUGUUGCCAGCAUUUGGUUGGGGACUCAUGAGAGACUGCCGGGGUUAACUCGGAGGAAGGUGGGGAUGACGUCAAAUCAUCAUGCCCCUUAUGUCCAGGGCUUCACACAUGCUACAAUGGUCGGUACAACGCGCAGCGACACUGUGAGGUGGAGCGAAUCGCUGAAAGCCGGUCUUAGUUCGGAUUGGGGUCUGCAACUCGACCCCAUGAAGUCGGAGUCGCUAGUAAUCGUAGAUCAGCAAUGCUGCGGUGAAUACGUUCCCGGGCCUUGUACACACCGCCCGUCACGUCAUGAAAGUUGGUAACACCCGAAGCCAGUGGCUCAAACUUGUUAGGGAGCUGUCUAAGGUGGGAUCGGCGAUUGGGACGAAGUCGUAACAAGGUA
RNAcentral lists this ribosomal RNA (993 nucleotides) under uncultured Corynebacterium sp. RNAcentral describes it as "bacterial SSU rRNA". It matches the Rfam family "Bacterial small subunit ribosomal RNA", at positions 505 to 1498 of the family's 1533-position model. The record is from RNAcentral. Lineage: Bacteria; Bacillati; Actinomycetota; Actinomycetes; Mycobacteriales; Corynebacteriaceae.